UACGUAGGGGGCGAGCGUUGUCCGGAUUUAUUGGGCGUAAAGAGCGUGUAGGCGGUUCGGUAAGUCUGCCGUGAAAACCUGAGGCUCAACCUCGGGCGUGCGGUGGAUACUGCCGGGCUAGAGGACGGUAGAGGCGAGUGGAAUUCCCGGUGUAGCGGUGAAAUGCGUAGAUAUCAGGAGGAACACCAGUGGCGAAGGCGGCUCACUGGACUGGUAUUGACGCUGAGGUGCGAAAGCGUGGGGAGCAAACAGG
This 253-nucleotide ribosomal RNA is filed under the name uncultured bacterium. Its description in RNAcentral is "partial 16S ribosomal RNA". It matches the Rfam family "Bacterial small subunit ribosomal RNA", at positions 524 to 776 of the family's 1533-position model. The record is from RNAcentral.